This 76-nucleotide transfer RNA is filed under the name Clostridia bacterium. RNAcentral's name for it is "tRNA-Thr". It matches the Rfam family "tRNA". Rfam says of the family: Transfer RNA (tRNA) molecules are approximately 80 nucleotides in length. Their secondary structure includes four short double-helical elements and three loops (D, anti-codon, and T loops). Lineage: Bacteria; Bacillati; Bacillota; Clostridia. The record is from RNAcentral.
GCUGGUGUGGCUCAGUUGGUAGAGCAAUUGAUUCGUAAUCAAUAGGUCGGGGGUUCGAAUCCCUUCACCAGCACCA